GCAGAAUAUAUUAUUUAGGGGCGUUCAAAAGCCUUAUUAUUGGGGGUUAAAACUGGAACGGUAUAGAGGAGAAAGGGGAAUGAGAGGGUGGAUAGUUUAGGCUGUGGCUUUGUUUACACCACAAAAUAGUAAAGGUUUAUGGAGACAGAAUGAAGGUCAACGCAUAGUCACCCUGUAGUGGUGUGAAAAAAAGCUCCACCCAGCCUAGCUCGACAUUAUCC
Non-coding RNA from Pelobates cultripes (western spadefoot toad), 221 nucleotides. Lineage: Eukaryota; Metazoa; Chordata; Amphibia; Anura; Pelobatidae. The record is from the annotation of a GenBank genome assembly.